GACGAACGCUGGCGGCGUGCUUAACACAUGCAAGUCGAGCGGUAAGGCCCUUUCGGGGUACGACGAGCGGCGAACGGGUGAGUAACACGUGGGUGACCUGCCCUUAGCUCUGGGAUAAGCCUGGGAAACUGGGUCUAAUACCGGAUAUGACUCCAUAACGCAUGUUGUGGGGUGGAAAGCCUUGUGCGGCUAGGGAUGGCCCGCGGCCUAUCAGCUUGUUGGUGGGGUGAUGGCCACCAAGGCGACGACGGGUAGCCGGCCUGAGAGGGCGACCGGCCACACUGGGACUGAGACACGGCCCACGAUCCUACGGGAGGGCAGCAGUGGGGGAAUCUUGCGCAAUGGGCGAAAGCCUGACGCAGCGACGCCGCGU
RNAcentral lists this ribosomal RNA (373 nucleotides) under uncultured bacterium. RNAcentral describes it as "bacterial SSU rRNA". It matches the Rfam family "Bacterial small subunit ribosomal RNA", at positions 28 to 402 of the family's 1533-position model. The record is from RNAcentral.